AUCUCGCUUGGGUACCACCUGUUCCCGCUUGCACAGUUCCGGCUGUGUUCGGGGGAAGGCGCCUGGCAGGACAACUUUGAGGAGUGAAUAUCACCGCCUCCCCUGUGGACUGAGCCUGUGGUAUUGUCUGCAAAUUCUUUGACACACCCUUCAAAAGGAAGCCUUGUGACUGACACAGAUUUUCUCUGAUUCUCUGAAGAGGAGGAGCCAAUGGACUGGAGCAGCUCUGAAGACAUGACCCUGAUGGCAGAAAGAAGAAGAGGAGAAAAAA
Molecule: long non-coding RNA, 271 nt
Organism: Choloepus didactylus (southern two-toed sloth)
Lineage: Eukaryota; Metazoa; Chordata; Mammalia; Pilosa; Megalonychidae
Exons: 4
Source: RefSeq, a predicted model, not a curated record